AGACUAAAAGGAAGACACAAAAUGAGGUUCUCAAACCUCAGGCAAACAACACAACUAUUGACACUGGAAAUCAGCAAUACAAUUUCCCAGGGGGAUACUAUACGAAGGAGCAUUGUGAGCAAAGUUUAAAAAUGAUGAAUCCAACACCAACAGGUAGUUGCAAGGCCAAUGCUCUAGCAGGUAUGCAUAAUUUGACAGUUAAUGAUACUGAUAUAGAAUGGAUUAUAGAUUCUGGCGCUUCGCAUCAUAUUACCUGCAAUGAGAACGUAAUAAAUGAGACUAAGAGAGUAUUUGAGUCAAAUGUAAGUAAGGUACAAGUACCUACUGGACAGAAGAUCACACUUAAGCAUAUUGGAGAUGCAGUAUUUUUAGGAGAUUAUUGCUUAAAAAAUGUGUUGUAUGUACCAGAUUUUAAAUUCAAUCUGUUAUCAGUCUCAAAACUCACCAAGGAUCUCAACUGCACAGUGUCUUUUUCUCCUGACAUGUGUGUCCUGCAGGAUCUCUGCAAUGGGAAGGUGAUUGGGAUUGGUAAGGAGGUUGAUGGACUUUAUUUCCUAAGACAUCAUGUGACACCACUCAUAGGAGCAGUUUCAAAUGACACAGAAGAUCAGAAGCUAUGGCAUCUAAGGCUAGGACAUCCUUCAGUAGGAGUCAUGAAACACUUGUUUCCUUUAAAGAAUAAAGUGACUACUGCUGU
RNAcentral lists this long non-coding RNA (697 nucleotides) under Solanum tuberosum (potato). RNAcentral describes it as "long non-coding RNA (STUB_LNC011857)". The record is from RNAcentral. Lineage: Eukaryota; Viridiplantae; Streptophyta; Magnoliopsida; Solanales; Solanaceae.